RNAcentral lists this ribosomal RNA (372 nucleotides) under Triticum aestivum (bread wheat). Its description in RNAcentral is "partial small subunit ribosomal RNA". The record is from RNAcentral. Lineage: Eukaryota; Viridiplantae; Streptophyta; Magnoliopsida; Poales; Poaceae.
AUGAAUUGCAUGAGCUGGAACUGUCGAGGGCUUGGGAACCCAUCGACAGUCUGAGAGCUUCGCAAGAUUGUGAAGAAGGAAGGUCCCUCACUUCUAUUUCUCAUGGAAACUAAGAUUAAGGGAAAAAGAGUUGAGAGUUUGAAGAAUUUACUUGGUUUUGCCAGAUGCUUUGCUGUUGAUAGCAGCGGCUUAAGUGGUGGAAUUGGCUUGUUUUGGACAGAUAAUAUUGAUAUAGAACUAAGAAACUACAGCCAAGCACAUAUUGACACUACAAAAAAAUACACUUCCGUGAUGAUACAUGUUUGUCACAGUAGGUCACGUUUUCUGUCGUGCAUGUACAUCCAUGACAAUUUUAUGACAGAAUCAAGAUAG